RNAcentral lists this ribosomal RNA (253 nucleotides) under uncultured bacterium. RNAcentral's name for it is "partial 16S ribosomal RNA". It matches the Rfam family "Bacterial small subunit ribosomal RNA", at positions 524 to 776 of the family's 1533-position model. The record is from RNAcentral.
UACGUAGGUGGCAAGCGUUGUCCGGAUUUAUUGGGUUUAAAGGGUGCGUAGGCGGUCUAUUAAGUCAGUGCUGAAAUAUCCCGGCUUAACCGGGAGGGUGGCAUUGAUACUGAUGGACUUGAGUUAAAGUUGAGGUUGGCGGAAUUGGACGGUGUAGCGGUGAAAUGCUUAGAUAUCGUCAAGAACACCUAUUGCGAAGGCAGCUAACUAGCUAAACUGACGCUGAGGCACGAAAGUGUGGGGAUCAAACAGG